RNAcentral lists this ribosomal RNA (496 nucleotides) under uncultured bacterium. RNAcentral describes it as "partial 16S ribosomal RNA". It matches the Rfam family "Bacterial small subunit ribosomal RNA", at positions 28 to 506 of the family's 1533-position model. The record is from RNAcentral.
GAUGAACGCUGGCGGCGUGCCUAAUACAUGCAAGUCGAGCGAACAGACGAGGAGCUUGCUCCUCUGACGUUAGCGGCGGACGGGUGAGUAACACGUGGAUAACCUACCUAUAAGACUGGGAUAACUUCGGGAAACCGGAGCUAAUACCGGAUAAUAUAUUGAACCGCAUGGUUCAAUAGUGAAAGACGGUUUUGCUGUCACUUAUAGAUGGACCCGCGCCGCAUUAGCUAGUUGGUAAGGUAACGGCUUACCAAGGCAACGAUGCGUAGCCGACCUGAGAGAGUGAUCGCCAACACGGAACUUGAGACACGUCCCAGCCCCCUAGGGAAGCCAGAAUGAGGAAAUUUGCAGAAAUGGGCGAAACCCUGACCAAGCAAAGCGGCGGGGGUGAUGAAGGUUUUCGGAUCGUAAAACCCUGUUAUUAGGGAAAAAAAAAUGUGGAAGUAACUAUGCACGUCUGAACGGAACCAAAGAAGAAAGCCCGGCCUAACUCCUU